GUGGACGCCAGUCUGCAUGGAGCCGACCUUGAAAUACCACCCUUUAAUGUUUGAUGUUCUAACGUGGACCCGUAAUCCGGGUUGCGGACAGUGUCUGGUGGGUAGUUUGACUGGGGCGGUCUCCUCCUAAAGAGUAACGGAGGAGCACGAAGGUUGGCUAAUCCUGGUCGGACAUCAGGAGGUUAGUGCAAUGGCAUAAGCCAGCUUGACUGCGAGCGUGACGGCGCGAGCAGGUGCGAAAGCAGGUCAUAGUGAUCCGGUGGUUCUGAAUGGAAGGGCCAUCGCUCAACGGAUAAAAGGUACUCCGGGGAUAACAGGCUGAUACCGCCCAAGAGUUCAUAUCGACGGCGGUGUUUGGCACCUCGAUGUCGGCUCAUCACAUCCUGGGGCUGAAGUAGGUCCCAAGGGUAUGGCUGUUCGCCAUUUAAAGUGGUACGCGAGCUGGGUUUAGAACGUCGUGAGACAGUUCGGUCCCUAUCUGCCGUGGGCGCUGGAGAACUGAGGGGGGCUGCUCCUAGUACGAGAGGACCGGAGUGGACGCAUCACUGGUGUUCGGGUUGUCAUG
RNAcentral lists this ribosomal RNA (565 nucleotides) under Salmonella enterica. RNAcentral's name for it is "partial 23S ribosomal RNA". It matches the Rfam family "Bacterial large subunit ribosomal RNA", at positions 2164 to 2728 of the family's 2925-position model. Lineage: Bacteria; Pseudomonadati; Pseudomonadota; Gammaproteobacteria; Enterobacterales; Enterobacteriaceae. The record is from RNAcentral.